GGGGAGAGCGCCGAAUCUUGGGCUGUGUCCCCCCAUGCCCUGGGCUCCAGGGCCUGCACCACUGGAAAUGCACUCCUGGGGCCCCGCAGCCCCCU
This 95-nucleotide microRNA precursor is filed under the name Canis lupus familiaris (dog). RNAcentral describes it as "mir-8799 microRNA precursor family". It matches the Rfam family "mir-8799 microRNA precursor family". Lineage: Eukaryota; Metazoa; Chordata; Mammalia; Carnivora; Canidae. RNAcentral also lists the same sequence under 1 other name. The record is from Rfam by way of RNAcentral.